Molecule: ribosomal RNA, 253 nt
Filed under: uncultured bacterium
Lineage: Bacteria
Description: partial 16S ribosomal RNA
Rfam family: Bacterial small subunit ribosomal RNA
Source: RNAcentral
UACAGAGGUCCCAAGCGUUGUUCGGAUUCACUGGGCGUAAAGGGUGCGUAGGUGGUGGGGUAAGUCCGAUGUGAAAGCUCCGAGCUCAACUCGGAAAUUGCAUUAGAAACUACCUUGCUGGAGGGUUGGAGGGGGGACUGGAAUUCUCGGUGUAGCAGUGAAAUGCGUAGAUAUCGAGAGGAACACCAGUGGCGAAGGCGAGUCCCUGGACAACUCCUGACACUGAGGCACGAAAGCUAGGGGAGCAAACAGG